Molecule: ribosomal RNA, 501 nt
Filed under: uncultured Archaeorhizomycetes
Lineage: Eukaryota; Fungi; Ascomycota; Archaeorhizomycetes
Description: eukaryotic LSU rRNA
Rfam family: Eukaryotic large subunit ribosomal RNA
Source: RNAcentral
AUUUCCUUGGAACAGGAGGUCAUGGAGGGUGAGAACCCCGUCUGUGGCUUGGAACUAGUGGUCCCAGUGACGUGCCCUCGAAGAGUCGGGUUGUUUGGGAAUGCAGCUCAAAAUGGGUGGUAAAUUUCAUCUAAAGCUAAAUAUUGGCGAGAGACCGAUAGCAAACAAGUAGAGUGAUCGAAAGAUGAAAAGUACUUUGAAAAGAGAGUGAAACAGUAUGUGAAAUUGUUGAAAGGGAAGCGUUUGGCAUCAGCCCUUGGCGGCCGUCGAACAUCGGGGCUCUGGCCCCGUGCACUCGACGGCCGUUGGGCCAGCGUCGGCUCUGCCCGCCGGAGAAAGGCCCUGGGGAAGUGGCUCCUCCGGGAGCGUUAUAACCCUGGGCGUCAUGCGGCUGGGCGGGGCCGAGGUCCGCGGAUCAAUCCUAGGACGCUGGCGUAAUGGUUCCAAGCGACCCGUCUUGAAACACGGACCAAGGAGUCUAACAUCUAUGCGAGUGUUUGG